UGAACGCCUAAGGCCGAAGCCAGCCUA
Molecule: small RNA, 27 nt
Filed under: Bombyx mori (domestic silkworm)
Lineage: Eukaryota; Metazoa; Arthropoda; Insecta; Lepidoptera; Bombycidae
Description: ovarian small RNA-30764
Source: RNAcentral